This 69-nucleotide transfer RNA is filed under the name Iguana delicatissima. Its description in RNAcentral is "tRNA-Pro". It matches the Rfam family "tRNA". From Rfam's summary of the family: Transfer RNA (tRNA) molecules are approximately 80 nucleotides in length. Their secondary structure includes four short double-helical elements and three loops (D, anti-codon, and T loops). Further hydrogen bonds mediate the characteristic L-shaped molecular structure. tRNAs have two regions of fundamental functional importance: the anti-codon, which is responsible for specific mRNA codon recognition, and the 3' end, to which the tRNAs corresponding amino acid is attached (by aminoacyl-tRNA synthetases). tRNAs cope with the degeneracy of the genetic code in two manners: having more than one tRNA (with a specific anti-codon) for a particular amino acid; and 'wobble' base-pairing, i.e. permitting non-standard base-pairing at the 3rd anti-codon position. Lineage: Eukaryota; Metazoa; Chordata; Lepidosauria; Squamata; Iguanidae. The record is from RNAcentral.
CAGAAGAUAGUUUAAGUUUAAAAUGCCAGUUUUGGGGGCUGGAGUUGGGGGUUAUUGCCCCUCUUUUGA